UACGUAGGGGGCUAGCGUUGUCCGGAAUCAUUGGGCGUAGAGAGCGUGUAGGCGGCCCGGUAAGUCCGCUGUAAAAGUCAAAGGCUCAACCUUUGAAUGUCAGUGGAUACUGCCGGGCUAGAGUCCGGAAGAGGCGAGUGGAACUCCUGGUGUAGCGGUGGAAUGCGCAGAUAUCAGGAAGAACACCAACGGCGAAGGCAGCUCGCUAGGACGGUACUGACGCUGAGACGCGAAAGCGUGGGGAGCGAACAGG
This 253-nucleotide ribosomal RNA is filed under the name uncultured bacterium. Its description in RNAcentral is "partial 16S ribosomal RNA". It matches the Rfam family "Bacterial small subunit ribosomal RNA", at positions 524 to 776 of the family's 1533-position model. The record is from RNAcentral.